UUAUUACUCCCAACAUUAUGGCGCCAUCCCACCGCGGCGCACGCUGUGCACGGCCACGCGCACGCGUGGACGUGCACGGAUUUAUUUCUUUGACUACGUGGGUCAAC
Molecule: long non-coding RNA, 107 nt
Organism: Aricia agestis (brown argus)
Lineage: Eukaryota; Metazoa; Arthropoda; Insecta; Lepidoptera; Lycaenidae
Exons: 3
Source: RefSeq, a predicted model, not a curated record